This 253-nucleotide ribosomal RNA is filed under the name uncultured bacterium. RNAcentral describes it as "partial 16S ribosomal RNA". It matches the Rfam family "Bacterial small subunit ribosomal RNA", at positions 524 to 776 of the family's 1533-position model. The record is from RNAcentral.
UACGUAGGGUGCAAGCGUUAAUCGGAAUUACUGGGCGUAAAGCGUGCGCAGGCGGUGAUGUAAGACAGAUGUGAAAUCCCCGGGCUCAACCUGGGAACUGCAUUUGUGACUGCAUCGCUGGAGUGCGGCAGAGGGGGAUGGAAUUCCGCGUGUAGCAGUGAAAUGCGUAGAUAUCGGAAGGAACACCAGUGGCGAAAGCGGCUUCCUGGUCCAGCACCGACGUUCAGGCACGAAAGCGUGGGGAGCAAACAGG